GAUGAACGCUGGCGGCGUGCCUAAUACAUGCAAGUCGAGCGAACGGACGAGAAGCUUGCUUCUCUGAUGUUAGCGGCGGACGGGUGAGUAACACGUGGAUAACCUACCUAUAAGACUGGGAUAACUUCGGGAAACCGGAGCUAAUACCGGAUAAUAUUUUGAACCGCAUGGUUCAAAAGUGAAAGACGGUCUUGCUGUCACUUAUAGAUGGAUCCGCGCUGCAUUAGCUAGUUGGUAAGGUAACGGCUUACCAAGGCAACGAUGCAUAGCCGACCUGAGAGGGUGAUCGGCCACACUGGAACUGGGCCACGGUCCAGACUCCUACGGGAGGCAGCAGUAGGGAAUCGUACGCAAUGGGCGAAAGCCUGACGGAGCAACGCGGCGUGAGUGAUGAAGGUCUUCGGAUCGUAAAACUCUGUUAUUAGGGAAGAAAAGAUGUGUAAGCAACUGUGCACAUCUUGACGGUACCUAAUCAGAAAGCCACGGCUAACUACGUG
This 497-nucleotide ribosomal RNA is filed under the name uncultured bacterium. RNAcentral's name for it is "partial 16S ribosomal RNA". It matches the Rfam family "Bacterial small subunit ribosomal RNA", at positions 28 to 507 of the family's 1533-position model. The record is from RNAcentral.